GGGCGGAAGAAUAGCCGCCCGACAACUAAAACGGCCACACCGUGAACGGGUGCGAGUGUCCCAAGCCACUAUAAACCGUUGAGGGGUUG
RNAcentral lists this non-coding RNA (89 nucleotides) under unclassified sequences. The record is from RNAcentral.